Molecule: transfer RNA, 73 nt
Filed under: Marinifilaceae bacterium
Lineage: Bacteria; Pseudomonadati; Bacteroidota; Bacteroidia; Marinilabiliales; Marinifilaceae
Description: tRNA-Phe
Rfam family: tRNA
About the family: Transfer RNA (tRNA) molecules are approximately 80 nucleotides in length. Their secondary structure includes four short double-helical elements and three loops (D, anti-codon, and T loops).
Source: RNAcentral
GGUGCCAUAGAUCAGUUGGUAGAGCAAAGGACUGAAAAUCCUUGUGUCCCCUGUUCGAUUCCUGGUGGCACCA